RNAcentral lists this ribosomal RNA (409 nucleotides) under uncultured microorganism. RNAcentral's name for it is "bacterial SSU rRNA". It matches the Rfam family "Archaeal small subunit ribosomal RNA", at positions 330 to 739 of the family's 1478-position model. The record is from RNAcentral.
GUGCACCAGGCGAGAAAACUUCACACUGUGCGAAAGCACGAUGAGGGAAUCCCAAGUGCUUGCACGUAAGUGUAAGCUGUUUCUCUGUCUAAAACGCAGAGAGAGUAAGGGCUGGGUAAGACGGGUGCCAGCCGCCGCGGUAAUACCUGCAGCUCAAGUGGUGACCGUUAUUAUUGGGCCUAAAACGUCCGUAGCCGGUUUAAUAAAUGCCUGGGUAAAUUGUGUAGCUUAACUAUACGAAUUCCGGGUAGACUGUUAAACUUGAGACCGGGAGAAGUUAGAGGUACUCCUGGGGUAGAGGUGAAAUUCUGUAAUCCUAGGGGGACCACCAGUGGCGAAGGCGUCUAACUAGAACGGGUCUGACGGUGAGGGGACGAAGCCCUGGGGCGCAAACGGGAUUAGAUACCCG